CUUAGUUGCCAUCAUUAAGUUGGGCACUCUAAGUUGACUGCCGGUGACAAACCGGAGGAAGGUGGGGAUGACGUCAAAUCAUCAUGCCCCUUAUGAUUUGGGCUACACACGUGCUACAAUGGACAAUACAAAGGGCAGCGAAACCGCGAGGUCAAGCAAAUCCCAUAAAGUUGUUCUCAGUUCGGAUUGUAGUCUGCAACUCGACUAUAUGAAGCUGGAAUCGCUAGUAAUCGUAGAUCAGCAUGCUACGGUGAAUACGUUCCCGGGUCUUGUACACACCGCCCGUCACACCACGAGAGUUUGUAACACCCGAAGCCGGUGGAGUAACCAUUUGGAGCUAGCCGUCGAAGGUGGGACAAAUGAUUGGGGUGAAGUCGUAACAAGGUAGCCGUAUCGGAAGGUGCGGCUGGAUCACCUCCUUUCUAAGGA
RNAcentral lists this ribosomal RNA (429 nucleotides) under Staphylococcus epidermidis NIHLM088. RNAcentral's name for it is "bacterial SSU rRNA". It matches the Rfam family "Bacterial small subunit ribosomal RNA", at positions 1110 to 1533 of the family's 1533-position model. The record is from RNAcentral. Lineage: Bacteria; Bacillati; Bacillota; Bacilli; Caryophanales; Staphylococcaceae.